This is a non-coding RNA of Phyllostomus hastatus (greater spear-nosed bat), 165 nucleotides long. RefSeq annotates it as small Cajal body-specific RNA 1. The transcript has a single exon. Lineage: Eukaryota; Metazoa; Chordata; Mammalia; Chiroptera; Phyllostomidae. The record is from RefSeq and is a predicted model, not a curated record.
CAGCACUGGAUACUAACCGAGCUAUCUGUGUCCCGGCCUUGCGUCAAAGGCUUGGGAUGCGUCGUGAUAGCUGGGUUCAAGAAGUGCAAUAUUAAAACAAAAGCCAUGAGGUCUUAAGCCCAGCGUGUAAAGACACACACUGAGUUAUAACUCAGCGGCACAGCC